This 245-nucleotide ribosomal RNA is filed under the name uncultured bacterium. RNAcentral describes it as "partial 16S ribosomal RNA". It matches the Rfam family "Bacterial small subunit ribosomal RNA", at positions 796 to 1041 of the family's 1533-position model. The record is from RNAcentral.
CACGCUGUAAACGAUGAGUGCUAGGUGUUGGGUAGCGAUAUUCAGUGCCGAAGUUAACACAAUAAGCACUCCGCCUGGGGAGUACGGUCGCAAGACUGAAACUCAAAGGAAUUGACGGGGACCCGCACAAGCAGCGGAGCAUGUGGUUUAAUUCGAAGCAACGCGAAGAACCUUACCAAGGUUUGACAUCCCCUUGACAGAUGCAGAGAUGUGUCCUCUCCUUCGGGAGCAAGGGAGACAGGUGG